RNAcentral lists this ribosomal RNA (463 nucleotides) under uncultured bacterium. RNAcentral describes it as "bacterial SSU rRNA". It matches the Rfam family "Bacterial small subunit ribosomal RNA", at positions 29 to 507 of the family's 1533-position model. The record is from RNAcentral.
ACGAACGCUGGCGGCGUGCUUAACACAUGCAAGUCGAACGAUGAAGCCCAACUUGCUGGGUGGAUUAGUGGCGAACGGGUGAGUAACACGUGGGUGAUCUGCCCUGCACUCUGGGAUAAGCCUGGGAAACUGGGUCUAAUACCGGAUAUGACCUCUUGCUGCAUGGCGAGGGGUGGAAAGUUUUCGGUGCAGGAUGAGCCCGCGGCCUAUCAGCUUGUUGGUGGGGUAAUGGCCUACCAAGGCGACGACGGGUAGCCGGCCUGAGAGGGCGACCGGCCACACUGGGACUGAGACACGGCCCAGACUCCUACGGGAGGCAGCAGUGGGGAAUAUUGCACAAUGGGCGAAAGCCUGAUGCAGCGACGCCGCGUGAGGGAUGACGGCCUUCGGGUUGUAAACCUCUUUCAGCAGGGACGAAGCGAAAGUGACGGUACCUGCAGAAGAAGCACCGGCCAACUACGUG